Molecule: ribosomal RNA, 253 nt
Filed under: uncultured bacterium
Lineage: Bacteria
Description: partial 16S ribosomal RNA
Rfam family: Bacterial small subunit ribosomal RNA
Source: RNAcentral
UACGGAGGGUGCAAGCGUUAUCCGGAUUCACUGGGUUUAAAGGGUGCGUAGGCGGGCCGGUAAGUCCGUGGUGAAAUCUCUGAGCUUAACUCAGAAACUGCCAUGGAUACUAUUUGUCUUGAAUAUUGUGGAGGUAAGCGGAAUAUGUCAUGUAGCGGUGAAAUGCUUAGAUAUGACAUAGAACACCAAUUGCGAAGGCAGCUUACUACACAGUUAUUGACGCUGAGGCACGAAAGCGUGGGGAGCAAACAGG